ACUCGGCGGUCUGUGGGCCGAGCGCGCGGGGGUCGUCAACAUCGGCCUCGAGGGCAUGAUGAUCCUCGGCACCUGGUUCGGCGCCUGGGCCGGGUUCCA
Molecule: transfer RNA, 99 nt
Filed under: Streptomyces griseus
Lineage: Bacteria; Bacillati; Actinomycetota; Actinomycetes; Kitasatosporales; Streptomycetaceae
Description: tRNA-Val
Source: RNAcentral